This 50-nucleotide transfer RNA is filed under the name Brachymitrion moritzianum. RNAcentral describes it as "partial tRNA-Leu". Lineage: Eukaryota; Viridiplantae; Streptophyta; Bryopsida; Splachnales; Splachnaceae. The record is from RNAcentral.
AAAAUCCGUUGGCUUUAUUGACCGUGAGGGUUCAAGUCCCUCUCUCCCCA